This 253-nucleotide ribosomal RNA is filed under the name uncultured bacterium. RNAcentral's name for it is "partial 16S ribosomal RNA". It matches the Rfam family "Bacterial small subunit ribosomal RNA", at positions 524 to 776 of the family's 1533-position model. The record is from RNAcentral.
UACGUAAGGUGCGAGCGUUAAUCGGAAUUACUGGGCGUAAAGCGUGCGCAGGCGGCGCGUUAAGACAGGUGUGAAAGCCCCGAGCUUAACUUGGGAAUUGCGCUUGUGACUGGCGUGCUGGAGUGUGGCAGAGGGAGGUGGAAUUCCACGUGUAGCAGUGAAAUGCGUAGAGAUGUGGAGGAACACCGAUGGCGAAGGCAGCCUCCUGGGCCAGCACUGACGCUCAUGCACGAAAGCGUGGGGAGCAAACAGG